CCCUUAGAUGUCCUGGGCCGCACGCGCGCUACACUGAGUGUCUGAGAUACGAGUCUGCCUGGUCCGGCAAGGUCUAGGUAAUCGCUAAAAGACACAUCAUGCUUGAGAUAGAUUAUUGCAAAUAUUAAUCUUGAACGAGGAAUUCCUAGUAAGCGCAAGUCAACAGCUUGCGUUGAUUACGUCCCUGCCCUUUGUACACACCGCCCGUCGCUACUACUGAUUGGAUGUUUAAGCGAGGUUCUCGAACUGCUAGCGACUUAGCUUCGGUGAGGUCGCAGUGUGGGAAGUGAACCUAGCUUUGGUGUCUAGAGGAAGUAAAAGUCGUAACA
RNAcentral lists this ribosomal RNA (329 nucleotides) under uncultured eukaryote. Its description in RNAcentral is "partial 18S ribosomal RNA". It matches the Rfam family "Eukaryotic small subunit ribosomal RNA", at positions 1470 to 1796 of the family's 1831-position model. The record is from RNAcentral.